Small nucleolar RNA from Ornithorhynchus anatinus (platypus), 138 nucleotides. NCBI's taxonomy places the organism in Eukaryota, Metazoa, Chordata, Mammalia, Monotremata, Ornithorhynchidae. The record is from RefSeq and is a predicted model, not a curated record.
CCCCUCUCAGGGUCACAGCUGGGGAGUUUCCAGUAUUCUACCAGUCUCAGCUACGGGAGGGAGAGUCAAUCAGAGGCAUACCCAUUUCAUUCCUAGUUUGGGCAGUGGCUAGCGAGUGGAAGGCAAUCUGCUGCAAGC